RNAcentral lists this long non-coding RNA (4176 nucleotides) under Triticum aestivum (bread wheat). RNAcentral describes it as "long non-coding RNA (TAES_LNC008538)". Lineage: Eukaryota; Viridiplantae; Streptophyta; Magnoliopsida; Poales; Poaceae. The record is from RNAcentral.
GACGUGCUGCUGGAAGGACGGGGCGGCUUGGGGGUGGACACGGCUGGGAAGAUUUUCAUCCCCAGGCCAAAAUCUUCGCCGGUAGCCCCCCAGGCGGCGAAAAAAUGCCUCCUAGGGGGCUCAACGGCAGAAGAUGCUCUGAGACAUUGCAGCCAUGUAGGUCAGUACAUUGAAUGUACUGGCAAUUUCACACUGUAGAGCAAUGCUGAGUAAAUGGCUAUCACUACAUGCAUAUUUGGUUGGUGGAGGCUCUAAGUUUAAUAUUUGCAUAAAACUAAUUUUUCCCUACAACAAAGAAAUAGAUUUUAUCUAACUACCAAGUUAAAUUGCCCAUAUAGAGAAGGUAAACCCAACUCAAUCCCAAAAUCACCAAAUCAUUAAUAACCCAACAAUCUCUUUAAAUAGAGUGAUGAGAUCAAUCAAAUUAAUAAGUAUCAGAUACUGAAGAUGUCCAUAACCGGGGACACGGCUAAUCAUGAUUAGUUUGUACACUCUGCAGAGAUUUGCGCACUUUUCCCCACAACUCGAUCUCCUCCGUUGUAUUUCUUACACUGCAUGAUGUUUGAGAAACGGAUGACCGAGACACAGUCUUUCCGAAGAGGUCCCCUUAACCGAUAGAUAGGCCGGUACACCUACAAUCCCCUACAUCUGCUAGCCCAUCAUGAAAAGGAUUCCCACAACUUACUCAACUAUGCCAGAGCACACGGAAGUUUACAGCAUGAAUAAUCUUUCGAUCCCUUUGAGCCUGGGUGGCAUUCCAAUAGGAUGAUCACACGGAUACCCGGGAUCUCCUAGGAACACUGGUAUAUCCCCAGGUGCCCGGGCAAGCCACUGGUAUAUCCCCAGGGUGCACCAACCAUUUUCACCCAGAUGUGUAUUAAAGUAGCCACCUUAAAGUUCCCUUAGUUAAAUGUAACUCUCACAUCUUUCAUGAAUCUCACAUACCAAUCCAUGUCUACGAGCAUAGCAAAGCAAUAUAAGCAUAACGUAUAAUACCCGGGGUUUGAUAAAAGACAAUAAGCUCCUACCUCAACAACUACUUCCCACGCCCACAUGUUACCAAAUCCUACUCAUGCAAUGUUUGAGGGUUGAAACUAAUGUAUAAAAAAACUGGGUAUGAAAAAUAUGAUCAAAGUGUGAACUUGCCUUGUACCGUUGAUGAAGAUUCGUCGCACUCAUAACUCGUGAUAGAUCUACUCGUCACACUCCGAUCAAUCUAUUGUAAGUAAGCAAUUGCAUACAUAAGCACUCAUGCAAAAGAAUCAAAGAAAAGAUCUCAAAAAACUUUGAAAACAAGCAAUUAACUCUUGCAACAGAAAACAAUUUCUAACAGUAUCAAAAUUGGGUGUAUUUGGUCUUAUCAGAAAGUUUAGGUCAAGAGCUUCAAUAGCAAAAAGAAUCAACUAAAUCGGAAUUAUAAAACUCAAGUUAUGAUCAAUAGAAGUUUAAAUUCAAAUCUGUUUGAAACCAAGUUUUAAACUGUCAAAAACAUGUUUAAGUUGGUUAUCUGGGUAGAGGGGAUCAUAACGAAGAAGUGGGCGUUGUUUUCGUUGGAUUUGGAUAAACGAGCAAAAAGUUAUGAGGGUUUAAAAAUCAGGGACUAAUCCGUGAUGAAAACAUUUAUGAAUAGGUCCCUGGCUGAAAAUUAACAGAAAAAGAAAAAUCUACGAACGAACAUUCGCUACAGAAACCUAACGAAUGAAAAUCGUUCGCUACCGAAACUAACGGAUGAACGUCCGCUAAAUAAACUAACUAAAAUAAUAAACCGAUCUAAAAGAAAAACCGAAAAAAACCGGAUAGGGGAUCAGUUCUAUACCGGUCGGUGGUUCGACGGUUUUGGCGAGAAAACCGGUGGCGGCGGUUAGCGGAUAGGCGACGACGAUGGAUCGGGAUUCCGGCGAGAUGGGGCGGCGGCGACGACGACUCCGGCGAGGCGGGACGGCGGCUAGGCGCGGCGCGGAAGACGGCGACGACUAGCGGCGCGGCGGCGGGAGCUGCGCGUGGUUGCGGCGGCAGCGAGAAGUGGUGGCAGCGGUGACGAGAUGCGGCGCGGCGACGUAAAGCGGCAGCGAGCGGCGCAGACGGGGUCCAAGAGGGGCCCCCGGUGCAGCGUAUAAAGGGGGGCUCGGCCUCGGGAGGCGGAGUCCCGGGCGUCGGCGGCUCCUCCCGUGUCCUGGCUGGACUCGGGGAAGGCGACGUCGGCGCGCCUGGGACAUUUACUCAGGACCCAGGCGGAGUCCCGCGCGGCGUCGACUCCUCCCGUGUCGUAAGAAUCCUGCAACAUGAGACAUUGCAGCCAUGUAGGUCAGUACAUUGAAUGUACUGGCAAUUUCACACUGUAGAGCAAUGCUGAGUAAAUGGCUAUCACUACAUGCAUAUUUGGCUGAUGGAGGCUCUUAGUUUAAUAUUUGCAUAAAGCCAAUUUUUUCUACAAUAAAGGAAUAGAUUUUAUUUAACUACCAAGUUAAAUUACCCAUAUUGAGAAGAUAACCCCAACUCAAUCCCAAAAUUACCAAAUCAUUAAUAACCCAACAAUUUCAUUAAAUAGAGUGAGGAGAUCAAUCAAAUAAUUCAAGUACCAGAUACUCAAGAUGUCCAUAACCGGGGACACGACUAAUCAUGAUUAGUUUGUACACUUUGUAAAGGUUUGCGCCCUUUUCCCCACAAGACUCGAUCUCGUCCGUUGUAUUUCUCGCACUGCAUGAUGUUUGAGAAACGGAUGACCGAGACACAGUCUUUCCGAAGAGGUCCACUUAACCGAUAGAUAGGCCGGUACACCUACAAUCCCCUACAUCUCCUAGCCCAUCAUGAAAAAGGAUUUCCACAAUUUACUCAACUAUGCCAGAGCCCAUAAUGGCUUGUGGCUGCACACGGAAGUUUCUAGCAUGAAUAAUCUUAUGAUCCCUUUGAGCCUGGGUGGCAUUCCAAUAGGAUAAUCACACAGAUACCUCGGGAUCUCCUAGGACAACAUUGGUAUAUCCCCAGGUUCCCGGGCAAGCCACUGGUAUAUCCCCAGGGUGCCCCAACCAUUCCACCCAUAUGUGUAUUAAAGUAGCCACCUUAAAGUUUCCUUAGUUAAAUAUAACUCACAUCUUUCAUGAAUCUUGAUACGUCUCCAACGUAUCUAUAAUUUUUGAUUGUUUCAUGCUAUUAUAUUAUCUAUUUUGGAUGUUUAAUGGGAUUUAUUAUACACUUUUAUAUUAUUUUUGGGACUAACCUAUUAACCGAAGGCCUAGUGCAAAUUGCUUUUUUUUUUGCCUAUUUCAGUGUUUCGUAGAAAAGAAAUAUCAAACGGAAUGAAACCUUCGGGAAAGUGAUUUUUGGAACAAACGUGAUCCAGAGGACUUGGAGUGGACGUCAAGAAAGAAUCGAGGAGGCCCCUCGCAGCUCCACCGACCUACUUCCUCCUAUAUAUACCCAUAUACCCCGAAAACAUCCAGGAGCACCACGAAACCCUAUUUCCACCACCACAACCUUCUGUACCAGUGAGAUCCCAUCUUGGGGCUUUUUCCGGCGCUCCGCUGAAGGGGGAAUCGAUCACGGAGGGCUUCUACAUCAAUACCAUAGCCUCUUCGAUGAUGUGUGAGUAGUUUACCACAGACCUUCGGGUCCAUAGUUAUUAGCUAGAUAGCUUCUUGUCUCUCUUUGGAUCUCAAUAGAAAGUUUUCCUCGAUCUUCUUGGAGAUCUAUUCGAUGUAAUUCUUUUUUGCGCUGUGUUUGUUGAGAUCCGAUGAAUUGUGGGUUUAUGAUCAAGAUUAUCUAUGAACAAUAUUUGAAUCUCCUCUGAAUUCUUUUACGUAUGAUUUGUUAUAUUUGCAAGUCUCUUCGAAUUAUCAGUUUGGUUUGGCCUACUAGAUUGAUCUUUUUUGCAAUGGGAGAAGUGCUUAGCUUUGGUUCAAUUGUGACGCCCGGAUAAUUACGCUACAGUAAUUCUCUGCUAAUGGUGCCACGUCACCACGGUUAUUGUUGCUAAUCUCGCGUUAGUUCGAAACCGAUUCAAAUUUAAAAUCAAAUCAAAUAAUAAAAGUUUUUAAAUUUUAAAACUAAAAUGUUCGGAGUCAACCAAAUAUUGCAUAGGUAAUUAUGAUGGAGAAAUCACACCUUUAUAAAAUAUUUAAAUACUAUAAGAUGAAUAAAACAGCAGUAAAAACAAUUAUUUAAAAGCUUUUAUAAUAA